AUGGGAAGAGUCACCAGGAGCGCUGCUGCCAAGGGUUUAUCCCCACUUGCUGGAAUAGUGGCCCGUAGAGCUGGUGGUGCUAGGAAGGAUCCUGCUUUGGAUUCUUGCAAUGUUACAAGCAUGAAGCGUGCACCCAGAGUUCCUAUAAAGUUUUGCUCCCCUGUGCAGCAGCUUCACCCUCAUAAUUUCCCUCGCCUGGACAAGGCUCGCAAGUUGUAUAAUCUGUUGCUUAGCGAUGAAGCAUGUGAGAAGUAUGCCGAGAAUACAUUCUCAAUGAUACCUCAGCCCGAUGAUAGCGUAACCAGCUUCACUGGGAAACGCAUUUGGGAAGGUUUUGCACCUGGGCAAAUGAUGGAGGGUGAUGUAAUGGACUUCCUCAUUGAUGAUUGGAAGAAAGAUCCCGAUAGAAAUGUUGAUUUUACGUCUGGGAAAAGGGUAUUGCUGAGUCCAUAUUUCAUCACGGUUGUGCUUGACUGUACGUUUUACAGAGGUAAAGAUAAAGAGUUUAAUGUGGAGAGUGCACCGAGAAAUUUCUGGAUCUAUGUUAAAAAGAGGAAGACUUGCUCACUGCCAACCUUAUCAUGA
RNAcentral lists this ribosomal RNA (585 nucleotides) under Triticum aestivum (bread wheat). RNAcentral describes it as "partial small subunit ribosomal RNA". Lineage: Eukaryota; Viridiplantae; Streptophyta; Magnoliopsida; Poales; Poaceae. The record is from RNAcentral.